Small nucleolar RNA from Otolemur garnettii (small-eared galago), 84 nucleotides. Lineage: Eukaryota; Metazoa; Chordata; Mammalia; Primates; Galagidae. The record is from Ensembl.
GGUCAAGGUUGUGUUGACAGAUAUUACCUGAAUUUAUUGCUGAUGUAUAAUAACACUUCAGCUCUCAAAUUAUGCUUGGAACUU